Molecule: ribosomal RNA, 253 nt
Filed under: uncultured bacterium
Lineage: Bacteria
Description: partial 16S ribosomal RNA
Rfam family: Bacterial small subunit ribosomal RNA
Source: RNAcentral
UACGUAGGUGGCAAGCGUUGUCCGGAUUUAUUGGGUUUAAAGGGUGCGUAGGCGGCAUGAUAAGUCAGUGGUGAAAGCCGGUAGCUCAACUAUCGAACUGCCAUUGAUACUGUCGUGCUUGAGUAUAGAUGAGGUAGGCGGAAUUGACAGUGUAGCGGUGAAAUGCAUAGAUAUUGUCAAGAACACCAAUUGCGAAGGCAGCUUACUAAGUUAUAACUGACGCUGAGGCACGAAAGUGCGGGGAUCAAACAGG